RNAcentral lists this ribosomal RNA (482 nucleotides) under uncultured bacterium. RNAcentral's name for it is "bacterial SSU rRNA". It matches the Rfam family "Bacterial small subunit ribosomal RNA", at positions 28 to 520 of the family's 1533-position model. The record is from RNAcentral.
GAUGAACGCUAGCGGCAGGCCUAAUACAUGCAAGGCGAAGGGGCAGCAAUGUCACUGUCGUACGGGUGCGUAACGCGUAUGCAACCUACCUAUCACAGGGGAAUAGCCUUUGGAAACAGGGAUUAAUACCGCAUAAAGCAGGGACACCGCAUGGUGAUAUUGCUAAAGAUUUAUCGGUGAUAGAUGGGCAUGCGUCUGAUUAGUUAGUUGGCAGGGUAACGGCCUACCAAGACGAUGAUCAGUAGGGGGCGUCAGAGCGUGGUCCCCCACACUGGCACUGAGAUACGGGCCAGACUCCUACGGGAGGCAGCAGUAGGGAAUAUUGGGCAAUGGAUGCAAGUCUGACCCAGCCAUGCCGCGUGCAGGAAGAAGGUCCUCUGGAUUGUAAACUGCUUUUAUCGGGGAAGAAUAGUUUUCUUGCGAGGGAAUGUGACGGUACCCGAUGAAUAAGCCACGGCUAACUACGUGCCAGCAGCCGACGG